CCUACGGGAGGCAGCAGUGAGGAAUAUUGGUCAAUGGACGAGAGUCUGAACCAGCCAAGUAGCGUGAAGGAUGACUGCCCUAUGGGUUGUAAACUUCUUUUAUAUGGGAAUAAAAUGUUCCACGUGUGGGAUUUUGUAUGUACCAUAUGAAUAAGGAUCGGCUAACUCCGUGCCAGCAGCCGCGGUAAUACGGAGGAUCCGAGCGUUAUCCGGAUUUAUUGGGUUUAAAGGGAGCGUAGGUGGAUGGUUAAGUCAGUUGUGAAAGUUUGCGGCUCAACCGUAAAAUUGCAGUUGAAACUGGCAGUCUUGAGUACAGUAGAGGUGAGCGGAAGUCGUGGUGUAGCGGUGAAAUGCUUAGAUAUCACGAAGAACUCCGAUUGCGAAGGCAGUUCACUGGACUGCAACUGACACUGAGGCUCGAAAGUGUGGGUAUCAAACAGGAUUAGAUACCCUGGUAGUC
Molecule: ribosomal RNA, 460 nt
Filed under: uncultured bacterium
Lineage: Bacteria
Description: partial 16S ribosomal RNA
Rfam family: Bacterial small subunit ribosomal RNA
Source: RNAcentral